This 364-nucleotide ribosomal RNA is filed under the name uncultured bacterium. Its description in RNAcentral is "bacterial SSU rRNA". It matches the Rfam family "Bacterial small subunit ribosomal RNA", at positions 29 to 419 of the family's 1533-position model. The record is from RNAcentral.
AACGAACGCUGGCGGCAGGCCUAACACAUGCAAGUCGAACGCUCUAGCAAUAGAGAGUGGCAGACGGGUGAGUAACGCGUGGGAACCUUCCCUAUGGUUCGGAAUAACUCGCCGAAAGGCGUGCUAAUACCGGGUAAGCCCGCAAGGGGAAAGAUUUAUCGCCAUAGGAUGGGCCCGCGUAGGAUUAGCUAGUUGGUGAGGUAAUGGCUCACCAAGGCGACGAUCCUUAGCUGGUUUGAGAGAAUGACCAGCCACACUGGGACUGAGACACGGCCCAGACUCCUACGGGAGGCAGCAGUGGGGAAGUCUUGGACAAUGGGCGCAAGCCUGAUCCAGCCAUGCCGCGUGAGUGACGAAGGCCUUC